AAGGAUUUAAGUUAAAUUAAACUUGGAGUCUUCAAAGCUCCCCAUAAAGAACUUUCCUUUAAGCCUUA
Molecule: transfer RNA, 68 nt
Filed under: Hydrophilidae sp. BMNH 1274338
Lineage: Eukaryota; Metazoa; Arthropoda; Insecta; Coleoptera; Hydrophilidae
Description: tRNA-Trp
Source: RNAcentral